UACGUAGGCAGCGAGCGUUGUUCGGAAUUACUGGGCGUAAAGAGUGUGUAGGCGGUGCUCUAAGUUCGGUGUGAAAUCUCCCGGCUUAACUGGGGAGGGUGCGCCGGGGAACUGGAGUGCUCGAACGUGGGAGAGGAAAGCGGAAUUCCUGGUGUAGCGGUGAAAUGCGUAGAUAUCGAGAGGAACACCGGUGGCGAAGGCGGCCUUCUGGACGAGUGACUGACGCUGGAGAACGCGAAAGCCGUGGGGAGCAAACAGG
Molecule: ribosomal RNA, 259 nt
Filed under: uncultured bacterium
Lineage: Bacteria
Description: partial 16S ribosomal RNA
Rfam family: Bacterial small subunit ribosomal RNA
Source: RNAcentral